This 598-nucleotide long non-coding RNA is filed under the name Taeniopygia guttata (zebra finch). RNAcentral's name for it is "lncRNA (ENSTGUG00000023464.1)". The record is from RNAcentral. Lineage: Eukaryota; Metazoa; Chordata; Aves; Passeriformes; Estrildidae.
AUAUUUUUGCAUGGUCUGGAGAGAUUAGAAUAUGUUUAGAAAUCAAUUCUAUAGGUUUCUUCUCAUUAAAAAAACAAAACAAAAAAACCUAAAAAGGGGUGACUCUUGCCCAAAUGUAUCUUUCACCUUUUAAAGGUUAAGAUUGAGCCUUUCAAAACCCCAUUCUAAAAUGAGAGGAUAUGAUAGCUAAUUUGAUCAUCACAAAAAUAUACUCAUAGCUUGAAGCCAAAAGGUGUUUUGGUUUUUUUCCAUUGAAAACCAAGAAUGGCACCAAGCAAAUACUUGUGUAAAAUAGGGGGGUUAGCACUAUCUAGAUUUUUCUAACCACAUGGCCUUCCAUUGCAGGGCCAUUUCAUCAGAAUUACAGCUGGGUAGGUUGUUCCCAGAUUCUUCUGACCAGAUUCGUCUGCUCAACCUAUUCCAAGGAAAUUGGAUCCUCUGCAGUGAGAACUUAAAAUGCUCUGUCCAUAUUAAGGCUAGUUCACUUAGUGAAUUUAGCCACUUUUUUAAAAAUGGAUUUGAUUGCUGUCUAGAAGAUCCAUACCAAGUCUAUAUCCUGCUGGUCCUGAACUUGAAAUGGCAUUCAGAAGGAAGUUAA